Molecule: ribosomal RNA, 197 nt
Filed under: uncultured bacterium
Lineage: Bacteria
Description: partial 16S ribosomal RNA
Rfam family: Bacterial small subunit ribosomal RNA
Source: RNAcentral
ACGCUCGACACCUACGGGAGGUAGCAGUGGGGAAUAUUGCACAAUGGGGGAAACCCUGAUGCAGCGACGCCGCGUGAGCGAAGAAGUAUUUCGGUAUGUAAAGCUCUAUCAGCAGGGAAGAAACUGACGGUACCUGACUAAGAAGCACCGGCUAAAUACGUGCCAGCAGCCACGGUAAUCUGAGCGGCUGGCAAGGC